AUGGCGCCGCGGAUGGCAGCCUCGGUACUGCGCUCUCUCGCACUUUUCCUGUUUUUGUUUAUUUUCUGCGCUUUUGGUCACUCAGACCACAUCACUUUCUCCAGAGAUGAACUGCUAAACAUCAGGCAGUCGUCUCACUAUAGUUCUUAUCCAUUUUUCACAAACCCGGAAAGUUUUUUGGAGAUUUUAGUUGGAGGCGCAGCAGCUCUCUGUGGCUCCUGGAGGAGACGUAGACGGGGGACCCGCGCUGGUGCACUGGUGAAACUACGUCGGCGAGGAUUCCGCACAGCACUCCCCUCCAUUCACCUCGCGAAUCUCCGCUCUUUUCCAAACAAAGUCGACGAAUUACUGCUCUUAAACCGGACUAACAAGGACUUUGCACGCUCUGCUGCCCUCUGCUUCACUGAAACCUGGCUUAGUGAGCGUGUCCCAGACGCUGUCUUAAAUCUGCCGGGCUUCCAACUUCACCGGGCGGACCGCGAAACGGAGCUCUCAGGGAAAACAAAGGGUGGUGGAGUCUGCUUCUACAUUAAUGAAGGUUGGUGUACUGAUGUCACAGUGUUACAGAAACACUGCAGCCCACACUUGGAAAGUCUUUUCAUCAAUUGUAAACCGUUUUAUUCACCGCGGGAGUUUUCUUCCUUCAUGCUGGUCGGAGUUUACAUCCCUCCUCAGGCCAACGCGAACAACGCACUGUGCGAGCUGGCUGACCAGAUCACCACCCUGGAGAGGAAAUUCCCGGACUCCUUUACAAUUAUCCUUGGGGAUUUUAACAGAGCAAACCUCAACCACGAACUCCCUAAAUACAGACAGCAUAUAGACUGCCCCACCAGGAACAACAUCAUACUGGAUCACUGUUACACCACUGUAAAAGAUGCCUAUCGCUCUGUGCCCCGGGCAGCUUUGGGACAUUCUGAUCACUGCAUGGUCCAUCUUAUUCCAGUUUAUAGGCAAAAACUCAAACGUGCCAAGCCUGUAGUCAAAACUGUGAAGAAGUGGACUAACGCAGCAAAGCAGGAACUGCAGGACUGUUUUGACUGCACUGAUUGGACUGUUUUUGAAGCUGCAUCUGAUAACCUGGAUGAGCUCACGGACACUGUGACAUCAUACAUCAGUUUUUGUGAAGACGUGUGUGUGCCAACAAAGACCUUCUGCACAUACAACAACAAUAAACCAUGGUUCACCCCUAAACUCCAACAUCUUCGUAAGGCUAAGGAGGACGCCUACAGAAGUGGUGACAGGGCCCUGUACAAGCAAGCUAGGAACACACUGACCAAGGAGAUCAAAGCAGCUAAAAGGAUCUACUCCCAGAAGCUGGAAGAACGGCUCUCAGCCAACGACCCUGCGUCAGUGUGGAGGGGCCUGCAGGAAAUCACCAGCUACAGACGCCCCCCACCCACUGUUGAAGCAAACAAAGACCUGGCCAACGAGCUAAAUACAUUCUACUGCAGGUUUGAGACGGACAGACUCCCACGCCUCACCCUCCCCUCCCCAGAGACACUGCUUCAGACACUGACCCCCAACACACCUUCCACCUCUCCCCCUUCACCCUCACCCUCUCCAAUCCAGUCUCAACGACCACCCCACCCUCCCCAAUCCAGACUCAACGACCACCACCACCCUUCCCAUUUCAGACUCAACGACCACCACCACCCUCUCCAAUCCAGACUCAACGACCUCCAUCACACCUCCCACCCCCCUUUCCUCCUCCCUGAAACUCAGAAUACACACUGA
This 1734-nucleotide long non-coding RNA is filed under the name Oreochromis niloticus (Nile tilapia). RNAcentral's name for it is "lncRNA (ENSONIG00000038159.1)". The record is from RNAcentral. Lineage: Eukaryota; Metazoa; Chordata; Actinopteri; Cichliformes; Cichlidae.